UUAUUUGGGUUGGGAGGUAACCACACACAGGUAAAGGUUGGCCAGGUGGAUGCUGGGAAUGUACGGUGAUUGCCAUGGCAACAGAUUCACAGAUUCCUCUUGCCUAUGAGUGAUGUCUCCGUCAUCCCUAGAUUUGGAGAUUGGUUGAUGUAGAAACAGCAUACUUCUUGGAGGAACAGGCAAAGACCACCUUCUUUAGCUGUCAGGACAUCCAGCCCCAUCCGUUCUGAAGUACCACAGCUGCCAAAGAAACGUUGUUUCUAGAUGAUCCAGCAGACCGGAUGGUACCUGAGGUGUCACUGGCAGAUAAAGAUGCUGUUUGGAGCUUCUGGCAGGCCCCUGUAGAUGAAUCACAGAAGAGACCUUUGAGAUUUUUGGAGCAAAGCUCUACCAUCUGCAGACCACUAUUCUCCCUUUGAAAAACAGCUUUUGGCCUGCUAUUGUGCCUUAGUGGAAACUGAACUUUUGACAAUAGGACACCAAUUUACCAUGCAACCUGAACUGCCUACCAUGAACUGGGUGUCCUAAAGUAGGAUGUACAAAGCAGCAUUCUCUUAUCAAAUGGAAGUGGUAUAUAUGUGAUUGGGCCCAAGUAGGUCCUGAAGGCACAAGAAAGCUAUAUGAAGAAGUUGUUCAAAUACCUGGGAUUUUUUUUCUCCUGUUACAAUGCCAUCUGCUGCCAAGCAUGCACCUAUAGACUCAUGGGGUGUUCCCUGUGAUCGCCUGACUAAAGAAGAGUAAUAACUGAUUUACUGAUGGCUCUGAAUGUUAUGCAGGCACCAACCAGAAGUGGACAACCCCUUUCCGAGACAACCCUGAAAGAUAAAAGUGAAGAAAAAUCUUCACAAUGGGCAGAACUUUGAGCAAUACACAUGGUAUUACAGUUUUCUUUUUGAAGAAGAAAUGGCCAGAUGUACAAUUUUUCACUGACUCAUGGGCUGUAGCCAAUGGAUUGGCUGGAAGGCCAGAACUUGGAAAGAUCAUGACUGGAAAAUUGGUGAGAAAGACAUCUGGGAAAGAAGUAUGUGUGUAGAUUUCUCCAAAUGGGCAAAGGAUGCGAAGAUAUUUGUGUCCCAUGUAAAUGCUCAGCAAAAGGUGACUUCAGCUGAGGAGAAGUUCAAUAAUCAAGUGGAUAAGUGUGGACAUUCAGACUCUUUCCCCAGCCAUCCCUGUCAUUGCUCAAUGGGCACAUGGACAAAGUGGCUAUGGUAGCCGAGAUGGAGGUUAUGCUUGGGCUCAACAACAUGGACUUCCAGUCAUCAAGGCUGACCUGGCGACACUUCUGCUGAAUACCAUAUCUGCCAACAGCAGAGACCAACACUGAGCCCCAAAUAUGGCACUAUUCCUCAAGGUGACCAGCCAGAAACCUGGUGGCAGAUUGACUACAUUUGACCACUUCCUCCCUGGAAAUUGUACUGUUUUGUUCUUACUGGAGUACAUACUUAUUCUGAUUAUGGAUUUGCCUUUCCUAUAUGUAAUGCUUCUGCCAAAACCACUAUUUGUGGACUUACAGGAGUCAUGGUAUUCCACACAGUAUUGUUUCUGACCAAAGAACUCAUUUCAUAGCCAGAGAAGUGCAACAGUAGACCCAUGAUCAUGGAAUCCAUUAAUCUUAUCAUGUUCCACAUCAUCCUGAAGCAGCUUGUCUGAUACAAAGGUGGGAUGGCUUUUUGAAGACACAGUUGCAGUGACAAUUAGGUGGCAGUAACAUGGAGGGCUGAGUCAGAGUUCUUUAGAAGGCAAUACAUGCUCUGAAUCAGCAUCCAAUAUAUGAUACACUUCCUCCCAUAUCCAGGAUCCAUGGGUCCAGGAAUUACUCCUAGUGAUCUUCUAGGAAAAUUUUUGCUUCCUGUCCCCCACAACUCUAGGUUCUGCUGGCCUAGAAAUUUUGGUUCCAGAGUGGGGGACGUGAUUCUACCAGGAGCCACAACAAACACUCCAUUGAACUGGAAGCUCAGACUUCCCCCCCUGGUUAUUUUGGUCUUCUAAUGCCCUUAAACCCACAGGAUAAGAAAGGAAUAACAGUGUUAUGAGAGGAGAUAGAUUCAGAUUACAAUGGAGAGAUUGCCUCUCCACAAUGGAGGUCAAAAGGAUUAUGUCUGGAAUGCAGGAAAUCCCUUAGGGUAUCUCUUAGUACUGCCAUGUCCUGUGAUUAAAAUCAAUGGGAAACUACAACAGCCUAAUCCAAACAGGAUGACAAAAGAUGCAGAUUCAUCAGGAAUGGAGGUGUGGGUCACUCCUCCAGGAAAAGAUCCAAGACCUGCUGAGGUGCUUGCAAAGAGUAGAGCAAAUACAGCAAAGGAAGGUCAUUAUAAAUACCAGUGAAGGCCAUGUAACCAGUUGCAGAAACAAGGAUUAUAAAGUAAUAUGAAUGCUUCUGUUUUAUUUUGUUAAGAACAAAUUUGUCUUUUUCCAAUUUCUUUAACAUCCAUUGGUAUUUAAGUUGAAAUACUGAAAGAAUGUUCCCAAGGGACAUUGCCCCUUUAUAAAUUUACAAAUGCAUUUUACAAAUGGAAUAAUUAUAUCAUGUUAGGGAUAUUCAUGACCUUGUUAUUGUUUCGUGUGGAUAUGAGAUAUUAUUUGUGUCAAGUUGACAAAGUGCGGAUUGUAGUGGCUAUUUCUGGUUGUAAACUUGAUUAUAUCUGGAAUGAACUAUAAUCUAAAAUUGGAAGGCUCAACUGUGGUCCUGAUCUUGAGCCUGGGAGAUACAAGUUUCUGACCUGUAUCUUGGCAUGGAGAUCUUGAGCCAUAGUGGCUAUGAAUCCCAGGAAAAUAAGGCAAGGAGAUCUCUGAGUUCAAGGUCAUCUGGGACAAAGUAAGUCCCAGAUGCAGGCCUGGUGGUACACACCUUUAAUCUGCAUCAUACCUUCUGCCGAAGAUCUACAUAAGGACAUUGUAGGAAGGAAUAUGAUCUCUUCUUCACCUGCUUGUUUUGUGGGACUGAGCAAUUGCAAGGAUCCUUGGACUUCCAUUCACAGAUGCUGCUGACCACUUUUGGGCAGUUGGACUAUAGACUAUAAGUCAUUAACAAAUUCCCUUACUAAGUAAUACCUAUGGGUAUAAGUUCUGUGACUCUAGAGAAGCCUGACUAAUGCAUCCGCCAUGGAGAGCAAGAAGUAUGUCGUUGACUACCAGGCCACAGCCUAAGUCUCCCAUUGAAGGUCUCUCUGCGCUUCCAGCCACAGCCACCACCAAGAUAAGGACAAUCAUUGUUGAGCUAAGCUGGAGCUCCCCAUUUCCCCUGGUGCUAGAUGCCAUCCUCAGCUUGUGGGCCCCAAACUUGGCUCCUAACUCCUCAUGACUCAGUGAUGCCUAGAUGUCCAGGAGUUGGGAACAUCUAGUCCUGGCCUCAUCAGGGACCUGUAGGUGUCAACACUUCAUUCCCGACUUCUCUGUGCAAUUCUCCAGUGAUGACUAGUGAUCCAGAAGCCAGGGAAUACCACUUCUGGCUUUCUCAUAUCUCAGACUGCGCUUUCCCAGCCCUGGAAUGGUUUUUCCACAAUCCCCUGAAACCCAGCACGCACCCAGUCAUGCAUGGUAUAAGCACAGUCAAAAUCCUGUGUUUCACUUCCAAAGUGACUGUGCCCUGUAGUGAGACAAAAUACUGUCCCACACUUCUUUACUGAGUCCUUUCUUUUUUCAGUGAAUAUAUAAUUAUAUGACUUGUACUAUUUUUUCUGCUCAUCAUGACCCCACACUAAACAAAUAUUUGAAAAGAUCUGGUGAUGUAUGUUGGGAUAUUACUGGACUGUAGAAAUAGAAAUCAAUGACAUCUCUAAAAAUUCUGUGACACUAUUACCUGUUGUGCACAUUUAUAUAAACCCACAGUAUUAACAGUGCCAGUGACAAGAACAUUUGUAAGAAACUAGAGAGAAGUGAGCAAAUUUCUAGGACAAAUUUGUAUUAAGAUGAUAAAUUUGGAAACUAAAAAAAAAAAGCUGCGCAUAUAGCUUAGAUGAUAUCAUGUUUUUUUUUAAUAUCUGUGGAGCUCUGGGUUUGAUUACCAGCACUGCAUCUACCAGUCAUGGAGCUGCUGUCUGUAGUCUUCAUUUUGUACAAAAUACUCUUGGGUCUACCUUAGACUUCAGGAUUGUUAU
This is a long non-coding RNA of Rattus norvegicus (Norway rat), 4097 nucleotides long. RefSeq lists it as uncharacterized. NCBI's taxonomy places the organism in Eukaryota, Metazoa, Chordata, Mammalia, Rodentia, Muridae. The record is from RefSeq and is a predicted model, not a curated record.